Molecule: ribosomal RNA, 1434 nt
Filed under: uncultured organism
Description: SSU rRNA
Rfam family: Bacterial small subunit ribosomal RNA
Source: RNAcentral
CGCUAGCUACAGGCUUAACACAUGCAAGUCGAGGGGCAGCAUGGUCUUAGCUUGCUAAGGCCGAUGGCGACCGGCGCACGGGUGAGUAACACGUAUCCAACCUGCCGUCUACUCUUGGACAGCCUUCUGAAAGGAAGAUUAAUACAAGAUGGCAUCAUGAGUCCGCAUGUUCACAUGAUUAAAGGUAUUCCGGUAGACGAUGGGGAUGCGUUCCAUUAGAUAGUAGGCGGGGUAACGGCCCACCUAGUCUUCGAUGGAUAGGGGUUCUGAGAGGAAGGUCCCCCACAUUGGAACUGAGACACGGUCCAAACUCCUACGGGAGGCAGCAGUGAGGAAUAUUGGUCAAUGGGCGAGAGCCUGAACCAGCCAAGUAGCGUGAAGGAUGACUGCCCUAUGGGUUGUAAACUUCUUUUAUAAAGGAAUAAAGUCGGGUAUGCAUACCCGUUUGCAUGUACUUUAUGAAUAAGGAUCGACUAACUCCGUGCCAGCAGCCGCGGUAAUACGGAGGAUCCGAGCGUUAUCCGGAUUUAUUGGGUUUAAAGGGAGCGUAGAUGGAUGUUUAAGUCAGUUGUGAAAGUUUGCGGCUCAACCGUAAAAUUGCAGUUGAUACUGGAUAUCUUGAGUGCAGUUGAGGCAGGCGGAAUUCGUGGUGUAGCGGUGAAAUGCUUAGAUAUCACGAAGAACUCCGAUUGCGAAGGCAGCCUGCUAAGCUGCAACUGACAUUGAGGCUCGAAAGUGUGGGUAUCAAACAGGAUUAGAUACCCUGGUAGUCCACACGGUAAACGAUGAAUACUCGCUGUUUGCGAUAUACGGCAAGCGGCCAAGCGAAAGCGUUAAGUAUUCCACCUGGGGAGUACGCCGGCAACGGUGAAACUCAAAGGAAUUGACGGGGGCCCGCACAAGCGGAGGAACAUGUGGUUUAAUUCGAUGAUACGCGAGGAACCUUACCCGGGCUUAAAUUGCAGAUGAAUUACGGUGAAAGCCGUAAGCCGCAAGGCAUCUGUGAAGGUGCUGCAUGGUUGUCGUCAGCUCGUGCCGUGAGGUGUCGGCUUAAGUGCCAUAACGAGCGCAACCCUUGUUGUCAGUUACUAACAGGUUCCGCUGAGGACUCUGACAAGACUGCCAUCGUAAGAUGUGAGGAAGGUGGGGAUGACGUCAAAUCAGCACGGCCCUUACGUCCGGGGCUACACACGUGUUACAAUGGGGGGUACAGAGGGCCGCUACCACGCGAGUGGAUGCCAAUCCCAAAAACCUCUCUCAGUUCGGACUGGAGUCUGCAACCCGACUCCACGAAGCUGGAUUCGCUAGUAAUCGCGCAUCAGCCACGGCGCGGUGAAUACGUUCCCGGGCCUUGUACACACCGCCCGUCAAGCCAUGGGAGCCGGGGGUACCUGAAGUGCGUAACCGCGAGGAGCGCCCUAGGGUAAAACUGGA